GUCCCGUUGGUCAAGUGGUCAAGACGUCGCCCUCUCACGGCGGAAUCAGGGGUUCGACUCCCCUACGGGAUACCA
RNAcentral lists this transfer RNA (75 nucleotides) under Bacillota bacterium. Its description in RNAcentral is "tRNA-Glu". It matches the Rfam family "tRNA". Rfam says of the family: Transfer RNA (tRNA) molecules are approximately 80 nucleotides in length. The record is from RNAcentral. RNAcentral also lists the same sequence under 4 other names. Lineage: Bacteria; Bacillati; Bacillota.